ACUUGAUCCAUGAUCAAGAUGAAUUAGAUUUGAAUCAAGGAAGAUUAAACCUCCAUGUAUCAAUGCUAACCACCAAUCUUUAACUCAUUGACCAAAAGAAAAAGAAAAAGAAGAAGAAGAAGAAGAAGAAAGAGAUGAAGAAUUAAAGUGCAUUAAUGGAAAUGGUAUGUAUCAAUUAACAAACAUUGACCAAAGAUAGAGAAGAUCAAGGUCAAAU
RNAcentral lists this long non-coding RNA (217 nucleotides) under Lathyrus oleraceus (garden pea). RNAcentral describes it as "Pisum sativum (pea) long non-coding RNA (PSAT_LNC012606)". The record is from RNAcentral. Lineage: Eukaryota; Viridiplantae; Streptophyta; Magnoliopsida; Fabales; Fabaceae.